Oncorhynchus tshawytscha (Chinook salmon) is the source of this 3267-nucleotide long non-coding RNA. The record is from Ensembl. Lineage: Eukaryota; Metazoa; Chordata; Actinopteri; Salmoniformes; Salmonidae.
UUUUCUUUUUUUUUUCUGUUUUAAUUUAUGGAUAACCAGGGGCACAUACCAAAACUCAUACAUCAUUUACAAACUUAGUGUAAUGUAACAAAUUAUGUUGGCUGUCAGGGAAAAUGUAAAGAGUAAAAAGUACAUUAUUUUCUUUAGGAAUGUAGUGAAGUAAAAGUAGUCAACAAAUAUAAAUAGUAAAGUACAACCCCCCCCCCCAAAAAAAAAAUACUUAAUUAGUACUUUAAAGUGUUUUUACUUAAAUACUUUACACCUCUGGAUACAAUGGGUGGUUUUCAUUGAUGACAUAGAGUACUUGGUGCUGUAACGAAAACAUUACAGCCAAAACAUGACUAUCGUUUUCUUAUUUUGACAUAGUUGACAGCAUAUACACCGAGUGUAGAAAACAUUAGCAACACCUGCUCAGCUGUCCCCAGUCCACCUGGCCGUGCUGCUGCUCCAGUUUCAACUGACCUGAGCCCUACGACCAUGCCCCAGGACUACCUGACAUGAUGACUCCUUGCUGUCCCCAGUCCACCUGGCCGUGCUGCUGCUCCAGUUUCAACUGUUCUGCCUUAUUAUUAUUGGACCAUGCUGGUCAUUUAUGAACAUUUGAACAUCUUGGACAUGUUCUGUUAUAAUCUCCACCCGGCACAGCCAGAAGAGGACUGGCCACCCCACAUAGCCUGGUUCCUCUCUAGGUUUCUUCCUAGGUUUUGGCCUUUCUAGGGAGUUUUUCCUAGCCACCGUGCUUCUACACCUGCAUUGCAUGCUGUUUGGGGUUUUAGGCUGAGUUUCUGUAGAGCACUUUGAGAUAUCAGCUGAUGUUCUUAGGGCUAUAUAAAUACAUUUCAUUUGAUUUGAUUUUCAUGAUAUAUACGUCAUACAGUAAAUAACAAAACUAACAGCCGUAAAGGAAACAGGAAGUUUGCGGACCGUUUUCAUGAACACGCCAAUAGAUCAUUUGUUCCGUACAAAAUGGUGAGAUCUUUUUUGUGUUGGUAAAAAUAAUUAUGUGAUAAAUGGUGGUAAAAAUAUUGAUGUAAACUAAUACGAUGAAUAUAAUAUAUAUUAUAGAUAUUUGCCUGAUACAUGAAAACUUAAGCGAAAAAGUGCAUUUUUGUAAUGAGAAAAAACAAGUCAAUUUGGUGGAAACACUGGUGGAAAAUGUGCAUGUUUUCUUUAUGAGUAUUCACAUGAAAAUAUGUCACGAAUUGGAUGGAAACCUGGCUAGUGACUGACCAGGUGAAUCCAGGUGAAAGCUAUGAUCCCUUAUUGAUGUCACCUGUUAAAUCCACUUCAAUCAGUGGUGAUGAAAGGGGAGGAGACAGGUUAAAGAUGAAGGGGAGGAGACAGGUUAAAGAUGAAGGGGAGGAGACAGGUUAAAGAUGAAGGGGAGGAGACAGGUUAAAAAUGAAGGGGAGGAGACAGGUUAAAUAUGAAGGGGAGGAGACAGGUUAAAGAUGAAGGGGAGGAGACAGGUUAAAAAUGAAGGGGAGGAGACAGGUUAAAGAUGAAGGGGAGGAGACAGGUUAAAGAUGAAGGGGAGGAGACCUGGUUAAAGAUGAAGGGGAGGAGACCUGGUUAAAUAUGAAGGGGAGGAGACAGGUUAAAGAUGAAGGGGAGGAGACAGGGUUAAAGAUGAAGGGGAGGAGACAGGUUAAAGAUGAAGGGGAGGAGACAGGUUAAAGAUGAAGGGGAGGAGACAGGUUAAAUAUGAAGGGGAGGAGUCAGGUUAAAGAUGAAGGGGAGGAGACAGGGUUAAAAAUGAAGGGGAGGAGACAGGGUUAAAUAUGAAGGGGAGGAGACAGGGUUAAAAAUGAAGGGGAGGAGACAGGGUUAAAGAAGGAUUUUUAAGCCUUGAGACAAUUGAGACAUGGAUUGUGUAUGUGUGCCAUUCAGAGGGUGAGUGGGCAAGACAAAAUAUUUAAGUGCCUUUGUACUGGGUAUGGUAGUAGGUGCCAGGCACACCGGUUUGAGUGUGUCAAGAACAGCAACGCUGCUGAGUUUUUCAGGCUCAACAGUGUCCUGUGUGUAUCAAGAAUGGUCCACCACCCAAAGAACAUCCAGCCAAAUUGACACAACUGUGGGAACCAUUGGAGUCACCAUGGGGCCAGCAUCCCUGUGGAACGCUUUCAACACCUUGUAGAGUCCCUGACACCGAUGAUUUGAGGCUGUUCUGAGGAGAAAAGGGGUGCAACUCAAUAUUAGGAAGUUGUUCCUAAUGUUUUGUACACUCAGUGUAAACCUGUCCGUGACCAUCAUCAGGGAAAAAAAUAACAAUUGAAAAAAAAAAAAAAACUACAAACUACAUCAUUUAGAUCUUUGUAAACCUUGUGGUUUGAACAUUUGAAUAAAAUACCUUUAUAUAAGGGUUAUAAAUUAAAUCUGACAUUAUCUACUAAGCAAAAGACUUUCAUUAGGCCUAUAUUAAUUUCUAAUUUAUCAGAGGUUCAUUAUUAAUUAUAAACCGGGUGGUUCGAGCCCUAAAUGCUGAUAGGCUAAAAGCCAUGGUAUAUCAGACUGUAUACCACAGGUAUGACAAAACAUUUAUUUUAACUGUUCUAAUUACAUUGGUAACCAGUUUAUAAUAGCAAUAAGGCACCUCAGGGGUUUGUGAUAUAUGGUCAAUAUACAACAGCUAAGGGCUGUAUCCAGGCACGCCGCGUUGCGUCGUGAAUAAGAACAGCCUUUAGCCGUGGUAUAUUGGCCGCACAUCGCCAAACCUCAUGCCUUACUGCUUAAUUAUACCACUCAGUGUGUCGUAAAUGGAGCAGUCUGGGCAUUGAUCUGCAGCGUCUCUGUAGAGUCAAUAGGAUUGAUCCAUUGAGGUUUUUUUGUAGCAGAACUAAUCACACAGAACCCUUUCUCCCUCAAUUAGUCACUUCAGACUCUCUUCGGGGUUGUGUCCUAAAUGGCACCCUAUUCCCUAUAUAGUGCACUACUUUUAACCAGGGCCCUAUGGCACCCUAUUCCCUUUAUAGUGCACUACUUUUAACCAGGGCCCAAUGGCACCCUAUUCCCUUUAUAGUGCACUACUUUUAACCAGGGCCCAUAGUGCUCUGGUAAAAAGCAGUGCACUAUAUAGGACAUAAGCUGACAUUUUGGACUGACCAUCUACUACCGAUGGCCCUUUUUUAGAUGAGUGUUUCUCAAUCUGUUUUUUAACAGGGACUGUGUUCCAGUCUGUUUUUGCUAAAAUGCCAACAAGUCCUUGUCACUCAUUGUUUUGUGAGAUGGUGUUGGUUGAAGCAGAAAGAUAUCUGAGACCAGGCUAGG